UGGGGAAUUUUCCGCAAUGGGCGAAAGCCUGACGGAGCAACGCCGCGUGGGUGAUGAAGUCUUUCGGGACGUAAAACCCUUUCAGCAGGGACGAACACAAUGACGGUACCUGCAGAAGAAGCAUCGGCUAACUACGUGCCAGCAGCCGCGGUAAUACGUAGGAUGCAAGCGUUGUCCGGAUUUAUUGGGCGUAAAGCGAACGUAGGCGGUUUCUUAAGUUUGGUCUUAAAGACCGGGGCUCAACCCCGGGAAUGGAUCGAAUACUGGGAGACUGGAGGAUGGUAGAGGAAGGUGGAAUUCCCAGUGUAGCGGUGAAAUGCGUAGAUAUUGGGAGGAACACCGGUGGCGAAAGCGGCCUUCUGGGCCAUUCCUGACGCUGAGGUUCGAAAGCUCGGGGAGCAAACAGG
This 407-nucleotide ribosomal RNA is filed under the name uncultured bacterium. RNAcentral describes it as "bacterial SSU rRNA". It matches the Rfam family "Bacterial small subunit ribosomal RNA", at positions 355 to 776 of the family's 1533-position model. The record is from RNAcentral.